GACGAACGCUGGCGGCGUGCUUAACACAUGCAAGUCGAACGAAAAGAGGGAAAGAGCUUGCUCUUUCCGGAAUUGAGUGGCAAACGGGUGAGUAACACGUAAACAACCUGCCUUCAGGAUGGGGACAACAGACGGAAACGACUGCUAAUACCGAAUAAGUUCCAAGGGCCGCAUGGCCCAUGGAAGAAAAGGUGGCCUCUACCUGUAAGCUAUCGCCUGAAGAGGGGUUUGCGUCUGAUUAGCUGGUUGGAGGGGUAACGGCCCACCAAGGCGACGAUCAGUAGCCGGUAGGAGAGGAUGAACGGCCACACUGGAACGGAGACACGGUCCAGAGUCCUACGGGAGGCAGCAGUGGGGAAUCUUCCGCAAUGGGCGAAAGCCUGACGGCGAAACGCCGCGUGAGUGAUGACGGCCUUCGGGUUGUAAAACUCUGUGAUCCGGGACGAAAAGGCAGAGUGCGAAGAACAAACUGCAUUGACGGUACCGGAAAAGCAAGCCACGGCUAACUACGUG
RNAcentral lists this ribosomal RNA (513 nucleotides) under uncultured bacterium. Its description in RNAcentral is "partial 16S ribosomal RNA". It matches the Rfam family "Bacterial small subunit ribosomal RNA", at positions 28 to 507 of the family's 1533-position model. The record is from RNAcentral.